RNAcentral lists this ribosomal RNA (119 nucleotides) under Pteropus alecto (black flying fox). The record is from RNAcentral. Lineage: Eukaryota; Metazoa; Chordata; Mammalia; Chiroptera; Pteropodidae.
GUCUACGGCCAUGCCACCCUGAACAAGCCCCAUCCCAAAUGAUCUCAGAAGCUAAGCAGGGUUGGGCCUGGUUAGUACUUGGAUGGGAGACUGCUUAGGAAGAACGGGUGCUAUAGGCG